AGUGAGAUGGCAGAGUGGUGAAUGCGCUUCGCUGUAAACGGAGUUGGGAAACCAAUCGAGAGUUCAAAUCUCUCUCUCACUA
This 82-nucleotide transfer RNA is filed under the name Halisarca harmelini. RNAcentral's name for it is "tRNA-Tyr". It matches the Rfam family "tRNA". Rfam says of the family: Transfer RNA (tRNA) molecules are approximately 80 nucleotides in length. Their secondary structure includes four short double-helical elements and three loops (D, anti-codon, and T loops). Further hydrogen bonds mediate the characteristic L-shaped molecular structure. tRNAs have two regions of fundamental functional importance: the anti-codon, which is responsible for specific mRNA codon recognition, and the 3' end, to which the tRNAs corresponding amino acid is attached (by aminoacyl-tRNA synthetases). tRNAs cope with the degeneracy of the genetic code in two manners: having more than one tRNA (with a specific anti-codon) for a particular amino acid; and 'wobble' base-pairing, i.e. permitting non-standard base-pairing at the 3rd anti-codon position. The record is from RNAcentral. Lineage: Eukaryota; Metazoa; Porifera; Demospongiae; Chondrillida; Halisarcidae.